Ixodes scapularis (black-legged tick) is the source of this 82-nucleotide non-coding RNA. NCBI's taxonomy places the organism in Eukaryota, Metazoa, Arthropoda, Arachnida, Ixodida, Ixodidae. The record is from Rfam.
GCAGUCGUGGCCGAGCGGUUAAGGCGAUGGACUCGAAAUCUAUAGGGGUUUCCCCGCACAGGUUCGAAUUCUGUCGGCUGCG